UACGAAGGGGGCUAGCGUUGCUCGGAAUGACUGGGCGUAAAGAGCUCGUAGGCGGUUUGUCGCGUCUGCUGUGAAAACUCGAGGCUCAACCUCGGGCUUGCAGUGGGUACGGGCAGACUAGAGUGCGGUAGGGGUGACUGGAAUUCCUGGUGUAGCGGUGGAAUGCGCAGAUAUCAGGAGGAACACCGAUGGCGAAGGCAGGUCACUGGGCCGCAACUGACGCUGAGGAGCGAAAGCAUGGGGAGCGAACAGG
This 253-nucleotide ribosomal RNA is filed under the name uncultured bacterium. Its description in RNAcentral is "partial 16S ribosomal RNA". It matches the Rfam family "Bacterial small subunit ribosomal RNA", at positions 524 to 776 of the family's 1533-position model. The record is from RNAcentral.